AUUGAACGCUGGCGGCAGGCCUAACACAUGCAAGUCGAACGGUAACAGGAAACAGCUUGCUGUUUCGCUGACGAGUGGCGGACGGGUGAGUAAUGUCUGGGAAACUGCCUGAUGGAGAGGGAUAACUACUGGAAACGGUAGCUAAUACCGCAUAACGUCGCGAGACCAAAGAGGGGGACCUUCGGGCCUCUUGCCAUCGGAGGUGACCAGAUGGGAUGAGCUUGUUGGUGGGGUAACGGCUCACCAAGGCGACGAUCCCUAGCUGGUCUGAGAGGAUGACCAGCCACACUGGAACUGAGACACGGUCCAGACUCCUACGGGAGGCAGCAGUGGGGAAUAUUGCACAAUGGGCGCAAGCCUGAUGCAGCCAUGCCGCGUGUAUGAAGAAGGCCUUCGGGUUGUAAAGUACUUUCAGCGGGGAGGAAGGGAGUAAAGUUAAUACCUUUACUCAUUGACGUUACCCGCAGAAGAAGCACCGGCUAACUCCGUGCCAGCCGCCGCCGUAA
Molecule: ribosomal RNA, 506 nt
Filed under: uncultured bacterium
Lineage: Bacteria
Description: partial 16S ribosomal RNA
Rfam family: Bacterial small subunit ribosomal RNA
Source: RNAcentral